GGAGGAAUAUUGGUCAAUGGGCGAGAGCCUGAACCAGCCAAGUCGCGUGAAGGAUGAAGGUUCUAUGGAUUGUAAACUUCUUUUAUUCGAGGGUAAAGUGAGGUAUGUAUACCUUAUUGCAAGUAUCGAAUGAAUAAGCAUCGGCUAACUCCGUGCCAGCAGCCGCGGUAAUACGGAGGAUGCGAGCGUUAUCCGGAUUUAUUGGGUUUAAAGGGUGCGUAGGCGGACGAUUAAGUCAGCGGUGAAAGCGUGUGGCUCAACCAUACCACUGCCGUUGAUACUGGUUGUCUUGAGUGUAAACGAGGUAGGCGGAAUGUGAUGUGUAGCGGUGAAAUGCUUAGAUAUGUCACAGAACCCCGAUUGCGAAGGCAGCUUACCAGGAUACAACUGACGCUGAGGCACGAAAGCGUGGGUAUCAAACAGGAUUAGAUACCCUGGUAGU
This 442-nucleotide ribosomal RNA is filed under the name uncultured Porphyromonadaceae bacterium. Its description in RNAcentral is "bacterial SSU rRNA". It matches the Rfam family "Bacterial small subunit ribosomal RNA", at positions 355 to 794 of the family's 1533-position model. The record is from RNAcentral. Lineage: Bacteria; Pseudomonadati; Bacteroidota; Bacteroidia; Bacteroidales; Porphyromonadaceae.